Bacillus rossius redtenbacheri is the source of this 1188-nucleotide RNA transcript. RefSeq lists it as uncharacterized. The transcript has 4 exons. Lineage: Eukaryota; Metazoa; Arthropoda; Insecta; Phasmatodea; Bacillidae. The record is from RefSeq and is a predicted model, not a curated record.
UAUUAUGGGGGAAGGUGGUAUUAUCUAUGGCUUGCGAGAGGUUAGAUUCUAAACGAAUAGCUACUCCACCAGUAUUAUAUUUUCAUAAUUUAAAGUUUAUUAUUUAUAAUUAUAUCUUAUAAUGUAUUAUGUGUUACGGGGAUGAUUGAGCAAGACAUGGAGAUUUUAGUUAUUUUAUACGGUUACAUAGUUCCAGCAGAUUUGACACUAUUCAUUACAUAGUACAGGUUAUUAAUUAUAAUUAGAGCCACGGAAUUUUCGCGCAUUCAUUUAGUCGCAAGCUAGAAUGCAAACUUCCACACUGUCGCACUGUGUUAAUGAUUGGACCGCAGUUAUCUGGACACGCCCCUCUACGACCGUGAGCCAAUGAUGCCCAGCUAGGGGAGAAGUAAGCGAAUCAGGUAGUGCCAAAUAACAAGGAUAAAAAGGUUCUCGCCAAGAAAUCAACCAAUGGGAAAGUAAACAUGGGUCGAGCACACCUAUAACUUUGAAUUCUAUCCUGAGGCCAGAGGAAUCCGCGAAAUUUCCAGGACUCUUAAUUAUAAUAAAGGAUACGGGGCAGUAAGGAGUUGCUAGAGUAUUGAUAUAUGAACCUCGCUGAGUUUGCGCCGUGCCCGCACCGUGGUGACUACCUGCCGGCGGAGCUGAGACGUCAGAGCGAACGGCGAACGACACGUCCCGUCCAGGGUUCGAUGCUCGGCAGCCAUCUUGCUCGGGACCACCCAGCGCCCCGACGCUCUCUGGCGCCGGGCGUCGGCGUGGCUCGACGCCUCACCUCUGGACGACGAAGGCGGCAGGCGGACCACCAGGAAUGGAUGCGGGCUGAGAUGUCUUCAAGCGACCAGGCGGCAGCUACUCCAUUCGGCGCAAACGUAGGCUCUGGCGUCGAUCCCGGGAGGUACUUGUCGGCAGCAGGUGACCAGCUCGGCCGACACCAGCGCCACAGUCACUGCUAACUCUUCCCAGGUGCACCACGCCGGUGUCGAGACACGCUCAGGCGCCCAGCCCCGCUACGGCAGCGCCUAUCCACAACGAGCACUGAAUCGUCUUGCAUCUUUCCGAGCUGGAGUGAAAACUUCUCAAGAGGAGGAGGAGGAGAAUAAGCCUGAUUAGCAGUUGGAUUCCACAAUUGGAGAUGUUGAAACACCUGAACUGUGUAAUAAAUGAAUAAAAUAACUUUUCAAACAA